UGGGGAUUUCCUUAACCAUGCAGUCGACGAGCUCUUCGGAGCUAGUGGCGGACGGGUGAGUAAUGCGUGAGAAUCUGCCUUCAGGACGGGGAUAACAGUUGGAAACGACUGCUAAUACCCGAUGUGCCGCAAGGUGAAAGUAAUUCGCCUGAAGAGGAGCUCGCGUCCGAUUAGCUAGUUGGUGUGGUAAGAGCGCACCAAGGCGACGAUCGGUAGCUGGUCUGAGAGGAUGAGCAGCCACACUGGGACUGAGACACGGCCCAGACUCCUACGGGAGGCAGCAGUGGGGAAUUUUCCGCAAUGGGCGAAAGCCUGACGGAGCAAUACCGCGUGAGGGAGGAAGGCCUUUGGGUUGUAAACCUCUUUUCUCAAGGAAGAAGUUCUGACGGUACUUGAGGAAUCAGCAUCGGCUAACUCCGUGCCAGCAGCCGCGGUAAUA
This 439-nucleotide ribosomal RNA is filed under the name uncultured Microcystis sp. RNAcentral's name for it is "bacterial SSU rRNA". It matches the Rfam family "Bacterial small subunit ribosomal RNA", at positions 37 to 525 of the family's 1533-position model. The record is from RNAcentral. Lineage: Bacteria; Bacillati; Cyanobacteriota; Cyanophyceae; Chroococcales; Microcystaceae.